CUCAGCCUCCCGAGUAGCUGGGGUUACAGUCAUGUGCUACCACGCCGGGCUAAUUUUUGUAUUUUUAGUAGAGACCGGGUUUCCCCAUAUUGGCCAGGCUGGUCUUGAACUCCUGACCUCAGGUGAUCUGCCCGCCUCGGGCUCCCAAAGUGCUGGGAUUACAGGUCUUAGCCACUGCGCCCAGCCAAGGCACUUUUAUUUAAAUUCUUCUGACUGCUGUUCAUGGCUUUCCCUAAUCUGCCUGAAGAUAUAUGACAUUGCAUAUCUCAAGUAAGACAGUUAUUCCAUCCCGAAAUACAGCCCAUUCCUUGUUAUCACUGUGAGAAGUGACAACGUGCUAGCAGCACUGGCUCGCUCUGGGCGCCUCCUCCGCUUGGCGUCCGCUCUGGCCUCGCUCGAGGAGCCCUUCAGCCUUCUGCUGCACUAUGAAGGCCCCUCUCUGGGGCUGGCAGAGGCCCAGCCGGCUCCCUCUGUUCGCGGGGAAGUGUGAAGAAGACAGGCACGGGGCGGGGGGUGGUGUGUGCCGGGGCUGCG
Molecule: long non-coding RNA, 534 nt
Filed under: Pan troglodytes (chimpanzee)
Lineage: Eukaryota; Metazoa; Chordata; Mammalia; Primates; Hominidae
Description: long non-coding RNA NONPTRT014475
Source: RNAcentral